This 59-nucleotide transfer RNA is filed under the name Clostridiales bacterium oral taxon 876 str. F0540. It matches the Rfam family "tRNA", at positions 14 to 71 of the family's 71-position model. Rfam says of the family: Transfer RNA (tRNA) molecules are approximately 80 nucleotides in length. Their secondary structure includes four short double-helical elements and three loops (D, anti-codon, and T loops). Further hydrogen bonds mediate the characteristic L-shaped molecular structure. tRNAs have two regions of fundamental functional importance: the anti-codon, which is responsible for specific mRNA codon recognition, and the 3' end, to which the tRNAs corresponding amino acid is attached (by aminoacyl-tRNA synthetases). tRNAs cope with the degeneracy of the genetic code in two manners: having more than one tRNA (with a specific anti-codon) for a particular amino acid; and 'wobble' base-pairing, i.e. permitting non-standard base-pairing at the 3rd anti-codon position. The record is from Rfam by way of RNAcentral. Lineage: Bacteria; Bacillati; Bacillota; Clostridia; Eubacteriales.
AGCGGUCAAGACACCACCCUUUCACGGUGGUAACAGGGGUUCGAUUCCCCUAUGAGUCA